AACGAACGCUGGCGGCAUGCCUAACACAUGCAAGUCGAACGAUCCCUUCGGGUAUAGUGGCGCACGGGUGCGUAACGCGUGGGAACCUGCCCUUAGGUUCGGAAUAACUCCCCGAAAUUUGUGCUAAUACCGGAUAAUGUCUUCGGACCAAAGAUUUAUCGCCUUUGGAUGGGCCCGCGUUGGAUUAGCUAGUUGGUGGGGUAAAAGCCUACCAAGGCGACGAUCCAUAGCUGGUCUGAGAGGAUGAUCAGCCACACUGGGACUGAGACACGGCCCAGACUCAGACGGGAAGGAGAAGUGGGGGAGAGGGGAAAAGGGGAGAAAGCCUGAGGCAGCGACGGCGCGUGGGGGAUGACGGCGAUCGGGUUGGAAACGCAAUGCGCUAGGGACGAAGAUGUUUGUGACGGUACCGAGAGAAGAAGCACCGGCUAACUACGUG
RNAcentral lists this ribosomal RNA (439 nucleotides) under uncultured bacterium. Its description in RNAcentral is "partial 16S ribosomal RNA". It matches the Rfam family "Bacterial small subunit ribosomal RNA", at positions 29 to 507 of the family's 1533-position model. The record is from RNAcentral.